RNAcentral lists this long non-coding RNA (1180 nucleotides) under Piliocolobus tephrosceles (Ugandan red Colobus). Its description in RNAcentral is "lncRNA (ENSPTEG00000021754.1)". Lineage: Eukaryota; Metazoa; Chordata; Mammalia; Primates; Cercopithecidae. The record is from RNAcentral.
UCUCAACUCUGUGCUGCCCGCGCAGCCCACACACUCAUCCUGCCUGGCUGCUGCUUUGUGACGCCAGCAGCUCACCCUGCUUUGUUACAGCGGGUGGUUGCUGGGCCGGCCCCCUGCCUGCCAGCCUCUGGCGCACACUGGCGCUGGCGGUCGCAGAGGCCCCGACGCGCCCCGCCGGGCCUGCUGAGCUGCCCCCGGGCCGGGGUCCCUCCUGGCCACGCUGUGCCCAGGCGGUGCAGCGCUGCCUGUAUGACCUCCUUCCGGCGGCGCGGGGAAAAGGCGACCAUCUGCCUCCAGGAGCAUGUGGUCAUCGACAUGUACCCCGCACCCAUAUCUCUGGCUACUUCCUGCGGGAGCUCCCCCAUGACGCCCCCGCUUGCCUGGCCACCUCCGACGUCGCCCACGACGACGAGGAUGGGGACCAUCUCUUCGGAGCCUAAGGAUCCAGCCCAGGUCCCAGCCCUGCGCAGCCGCCCUCCAAGCUGCCAGAGGACUAGCUGGACGCCGAAGGCUACGAGAGGACGACUGCAGACCGCGGACCUUCGCCCACCGGUUGCGCCCGCUGCCCCAGGGCAGAAAGGACCACCCUCCUCCCGGACGGAGCCCCGAGCCCCAUGGAGCACGCAAGCGCCGGAGUCCCUGGGCCAAGGCAAGGACCUGAAGCCCAUGGACCACAGUGGGCUGUCAGACACCUGUGUCAAGCUGCACCUGCGGCCAGGAGCCAGGAAGCCCAAGCAAGCUGAGGAGGCCUCAGCCAUUCACCUCCAUGCGGAACAGCCAGUCUGUCCCACACCUGGGAUGCCUUCCAGCAUAACCUCCCUGCUGAUCUGGGGAAAGCCCUGGAGAAUUUCCAGGUUGGCAUUUUAUAAGAAGCAUUCUCAGCUGGAGGUUACUAUGAUGUACCAACAAAGAACUGUGGUCAGAUCACAUUGGAAAACAUUAUUAAACUAGUUUCUUUACUGCAGGACUUACCAGAGCCUUUAAUGUGCGGAUGGGCUGUUCCUUGACUGUCAGUAAGGGGGAUGAAGUAGGUAGCGUCUGCCCAAUGUAUUUGACCACAGAAUCCUCAUUCCCAAGAGGCCAACCACAAAUGCACGUAAGGCACCAGCACAACACGUGCAUCUAGGAGAGGAGAGAAAAAAAUACUAUUAAAUAAAAGCAUCAAAGUGACCUUGAGCCA